RNAcentral lists this ribosomal RNA (497 nucleotides) under uncultured bacterium. RNAcentral's name for it is "partial 16S ribosomal RNA". It matches the Rfam family "Bacterial small subunit ribosomal RNA", at positions 28 to 507 of the family's 1533-position model. The record is from RNAcentral.
GAUGAACGCUGGCGGCGUGCCUAAUACAUGCAAGUCGAGCGAACAGACGAGGAGCUUGCUCCUCUGACGUUAGCGGCGGACGGGUGAGUAACACGUGGAUAACCUACCUAUAAGACUGGGAUAACUUCGGGAAACCGGAGCUAAUACCGGAUAAUAUAUUGAACCGCAUGGUUCAAUAGUGAAAGACGGUUUUGCUGUCACUUAUAGAUGGAUCCGCGCCGCAUUAGCUAGUUGGUAAGGUAACGGCUUACCAAGGCAACGAUGCGUAGCCGACCUGAGAGGGUGAUCGGCCACCCUGGAACUGAGACACGGUCCAGACUCCUACGGGAGGCAGCAGGAGGGAAUCUUCCGCAAUGGGCGAAAGCCUGACGGAGCAACGCCGCGUGAGUGAUGAAGGUCUUCGGAUCGUAAAACUCUGUUAUUAGGGAAGAACAAAUGUGUAAGUAACUAUGCACGUCUUGACGGUACCUAAUCAGAAAGCCACGGCUAACUACGUG